CCAGGAGGUCAAGGCUACAAUAAGGUAUGAUUGCACAACUGUACUCUAGCCUGGGUGAGGGCGUGAGCAGGUGCAGGUGGCCACCCCAGGUUAUGGGGUUGGCUGUGGAGCACUGGGGAAGGCUCCAGGGUAAGCAGGGGUAGGUGGCCCCCGUGGGUUUUGGGGUUGGCUUUGGGGCACCAUGGAAGGCUUCGGGGUGAGUAGGGGCAGGUGGCCCCCUGGGUUAUGGGGUUGGCUGUGGAGUACCGUGGAAGGCUUUGGGGUGAGUAGGGGCAGGUGACCCCCUGGGUUAUGGGGUUGGCUGUGGAGCACCGUGGAAGGCUCUGGGUUGAGUAGGGGCAGGUGGCCCCCUGGGUUUUGGGGUUGGCUGUGGGGCACCGUGGAAGGCUCCGGUGUGAGCAGGGGUAGGUGGCUGCUUUAAGAGAGGUUGUGUCCCCUGGGUGCCCCCUGGUUUUGCACCCCUGAAGCCCUGGCCACCCCAUCCUGCAGUUCCCUCCUGAAGGACCAGGCAAAGCCAGGACCACCCUGGACAAGAGGAGGAAUUGUCCUUCUGAGCCCUGACGGUUCCGUGAUCAGACCCGGGACCUGCUCCAGGCUCUGUUUUAGUGUCUCACGUCCUCUUAGGGUACAUUGAAGAAGCAUUGUCGGUGCCAGGGUCAGCCAGGGUCAGCCAGGCCUGUGUUCCUCACUGUGCCCCUCCUCACUCCUGCAGAGGCCUAGGGACCUGGAAGGAACUUGCCACCUGUGGGUGACCUUUCUCAGAAGGUAAAAUGCAGGGUGGGGCGAGCCCCACUGGCCUUGGAGAGUCUGUCCUCGGGCCCAGAGGGUGCCAGUUGGGGGAGGCGCAGAAGGACUGAGACACUUGGAUUCCACAGAGAGGUCACCGUGGUACAGUCCAGACUGUUGUUUUUAAUUUUAAAGGAAAGAAUUUGUUAUGACGACUGUUCUCAUUCUCCUUUAGGCAUUUUUAACAUGUGUUCCAGGCAGACCAGGCUGUGGCCCUUCCCUCGUGGCUGGUGCAGGCCACGCCUCCCCCCGGCCCAGCGAGUAGGGAGGUUUGGCUCUGGCAUGACCCUCCGGGGCACAAGUGUCCUCGGGGAGCUGGUCCCUACUACAUAGAGGCCACCUGGCGUCACUUGGCAGAGGAGGACGGGGCACCACCCUGCAGAGAAGCGUCCAUCUGCCCGUCAGUGUGCGGCCACACUUGGUGGUCCUCUUCACCUUGGCCUCUUGUUGAGCGCACCUCCCACCUGCACAGCAUCCUGCGUCGUAGCCAACACCACCUCCUCCAUGGACCUCAGUCUGCAGCCGUCACUCCAUGUCUGCAGCUGGGGCCCUGGCCAGCCCCCAUGGCGCAGUGCUGGGGGGUUCCUCUGGGUCCCUGUAGCCUCCAUAACAUAACCUGGGAGCAGGAAGAUCCCCCUGGGUCUGCUCACCUGGUGGGGGGCAGCCAUCACCAAAGCCGUCUGCCUGCAUCACCGGCUGAAUUGCAGCCAUGAUCCCACAAGGAAGCCUUGUCUCAGCUUUACAGAGGAGGAGGAGGCCCAGAGAGAGAAAGCAACUGCCCAGAGUCACACAGCUCAGGGAGGUUGUGUUCAGGGUGAGGUCUGUGCUCCCGCAGGGCCAGUGAGUGUCUUUCCUGUGGCAGCCGCUGGCCCACGUGUGUGGUGAUGACACCAAGCACACGGACCACGCGUGUGUUCAGAUGCUGCCUGGGCUUCACGUUGGUGCCCAUUUCUCUCUGGACCUUACGAAGACAAGUUUGCGGAGGCAUGGCAGCCCGUGCAUGCUGUUGGUGGGCACCUGGAAAAAAUAGCCAGAAGCUGUAAGCUCAGGAAGUGAUGAGCCAGCCAAGGGCUCCGUUCACAACACCCUGCACAGUGAACAGAGCUGAGUAAAUGGGGCUGCUUAGCGAAAAUCAUCGGACUCGAAGCUCCCUGAUGGCUCCAACAUCUUCCGUGACUCUGGGCAACUCCUGUGCAAUGGGAGGCCGUGCCCUGCCAUGUCCCCGCCUUCCUGCCCACAAGCCUGCCCUGUCCCAGCCACUGGGGUCUCACUCACCCAUCAGCCUGGAAACAGACGCAUGUCGGCACCCUCCCAGCCCCUCUGCGAGAGCCUCUCCAUAGCCUCGCUGUUGAGCCCGUGGCAGUGAAGGUCCCAGGCGCUGGAGCAGACGGCGUGGGCUCAGUCCUGGCACUGCCUGCCCUGCAGUCCUGGGCUGCUUACAGCUGAGCCUGACCUUGAAUUCCCCGUCUUUAAAACAAGGAUGAUGAGGCUUCAUGCUCCCUAGGUCCUCGCGAGGACUCACUCAAUGCACUGGAGCCAGGUGUGAGUAGGAAACCUGCCUUUCUGGCCUGAUCCUCCCCCCGGGAGCACAGGGUGGUCCUCAUCUGAACCCCGAGGGGGUCUCCCUGGCAUGCCCUUUCUCCCUGGACCCCUAGCCAUUCCAGGUGCAGCUGCCAGUGCGACCCCUCCUGCGGACAGGAGGUCCAUGUGAGGGCUCAGCUGCCUCUGAACCGGAAAGGCGCUGGCAGGCAGUGGCUGGGAGAGCAGGCGCACCCUGGGCGGCCUCCAGGAGAGAAAGGGAGACGUGUGCAUCUCAGUGGGGGCUGGCGGGAGACACUAAGGUGUUGAAGACCCUCGGGUCUGGGCCCUGUGGAAAUGCUCCCUGCGGGUGCCACCAGCCCUGCCCACUCAGCAGUCACUUGAGAACGCCCCGAGCAUCUGGCCCAGGAGGCUCGGCCUGGAGCCUCACAUGUGCGGAGGUUUGGCUCAGCCCCCAAGGGCAGGCCCAGGUCUGUGGCGGGGUGUGGGGAGGCAGCGGAGCCAUGGGUACUGUGUAGCGGGUAGGGCUGUGACCGGAGGUGGCAAAGCCGGCAGCCAGCCCGGCCCUUGGGGGAGAGGGUGGCAGGGUCAGGGUCUCUGAACUCUGGAAGGAACCUGCGUCCCUCAUCCUGAAACCCGGCCUCCUGUGUCUCUCAGACAGUGGCUCUCAGUCACUUUGGUCUCUGGUCCCUCUGCCCCUUGAUUUUUUAAGUUGUUCUAGCUCAGAAGCCAUUGUGUGUAUGGUGUGACUACACCCCAGCCAGGGCAUGAGUGCACACAGAUCCAGGGUCCGUGCAGAGCCCGCCAGGUGUAGGGUGGAUGCUGAGGCCCACCUGGCUGAAACUGCACUCAGGCCAUUUUACUGAUGUCAGGAAACGUUCAUGAAAAUGCAAGCUGGUGAGCAGGCAAGUGCCCCCCUGCAUGACAGACCCUCCUGGUGCCCCUGGCUCAGACAGUGUGACCUUGAGAACAGCGGGGGUCUAACCCCUGACCCCAGCGUCCGUGUCACCUGGGAGCCUCACCUUGAGACCCCUGCGUUGUGGUUCUGAAAUCACUUGAGUGGGCCGUGGCCACCGUGAGGCGGAGAAAGAGGAAAUACCUGCCAGAAGAUCAAAUUGCAAUCCGUGUAAUUUAAAGAUCUCACUGGGCUUUGUUGGCGAUUCUAGAGUGGGGCAGCACUGCAUUCCAUGAACUAGAAUUAAGAGCUCCAGUGAAACACGCAGUGCGGGGCCGGCUGUACAGACAGGGCUGAGGAAAGCAGAAACUGUGCAAACGCGGUUCGGCGGCCUCAGUCACUGUCCUUUGUAAGCUUGGGGAGUCGGCGGGAGAGACGUGACCCACUGGCCACUUCAGGCGGCUCUGUGUCGUAAGGAUCAGUUUCACAUUAGGUGAUUGCCGGACUUACAUCAAGCUUGAAGAAGCAGAAGAUCCCUGCACACACGUGUGGCCCAGACCAAGAGCCGUCACGUGACAAACUUUGUGCUUAAAUGGGUUUUUAGUAUGUGUAUCUUUUCUUUUUCUUUUUUUUUUUUUUUUUUGAGAUGGAGUCUCGCUCUGUCACCCAGGCUGGAGUGCAGUGGCACAAUCUCAGCUCACAGCAACAUCCACCUCCCAGGUUCAAAAGAUUCUCCAGCCUCAGCUUCCUGAGUACCUGGGACUACAGGCACCUGCCACCAUGCCCAGCUAAUUUUUGUAUCUUUAGUAGGGAGGGGGUUUCGCCAUGUUGACCAGGCUGGUCUUGAACUCCUGACCUCAAGUGAUUUGUCCACCUUGGCCUCCCAAAGUGUUGGCAUUUAUAGGCGUGAGCCACUGUGCCCGGCCAAGUACGGGUAUCUUUUUGGCAGUGUGAAGAAUUUAUUUAGGCUUGACUGUUUUAAAGCACCAUAAUGAAUGUAUAAUUAAGUUAUGAUAAAGUCUUAACCCUUUGUUACAGGGGAACGGUAAUGUUGUGAGUGGCUGUGUCUCAGCCCCUGGACUCCAGCAGUCACCCUCAUAGGAGUCCCACCUCUGCGGGCAGCUCAGAGCCUCCAUGUUUUUAUAUUUAAUUCUCAUGGUUAAAUUCAGUGCCGUAACUCAUGGAAUUAAGUCUUUUUAAAAUCUAAGCAAACUGUCUUUAAGACAGAAAAAGUUGGGUAAUUCUUCAUCUAUUUGAAGUGAUGCUCUCUGGAUGGGCUGCAUCCUAAGAAUGUAUCAAAAGUGGAAAUUCUGACCACUGUUUUGAUUGUCCUUUUACAUAUUAAACAAGUUGAGAGCAAGAACAACAAAAAGAGGGACCUCCGUGACCACGCCGAGGAAGACAGAGCCUGGCCUGGUUGGAAGAUUGGCCUCUCCUCUGUCUCCUGUUUUCUCCAAGGUCCGAUAACAACUCAGUUUCCCUUGGAGUGUGGGGACUUCAUUUUGAUUUUCAGUCUGAUCUGUUGGGGUCUAGGCAGGAGCUUGGUCCCAAACAACACACCCAUGUGUGCUGAGGACACGCUCCAGGGGAUUCUUACGCCCGCCUGCAUCAGAGAACCCAGGUCUUGUGGGCGAGGCAGCGUGGAGAGGGAGCGCAGCUCUGGAGACGGCCCCCAGGGCUUGCGGGCGGGCGGGCGAGGCAGCGUGGAGAGCGGAGAGCGAAGCUCUGGAGACGACCCCCAGAGGAGAUUGGCCAAGUGCGGAUGUGCGAGUCCUCCCUGCCCGAGGCGCAAACUGUCUCACUCCAAAGGGCGUCCGGAGGGUUCUGCGGGGCGGCUGUGCACUGACACCUGCCCCCCACGUGGGAGUCCGCCGGCUCCUGGCCCUUGCCGGUUGGUGUUGCGCGUCUGAGAUGACGCCCCUGCGGUAGGAGCGGGGUUUCCCUGAUCACCGCUUCUUUUGACCAUCUUUUCUGGCAGGGCCUUGUAUUUUUAAAAUGUGUAAAGGUUAAGCUUUCUGAGAUCAGAAAAAUAAUAUUUAGUGAACCAUGUGAUUUAAGUCACUGUGUAUGUGACAUGAAAUAUUUAUACCUAACCCACUAGCAAAUGGCUCGUUAAACAUAUUUGAGAUUUAAUGUAAGUGAGAAUUCUGCCAACCAAGUCAGGAUAAACCUUAAACAUCGGGAAUGCAAAA
Molecule: long non-coding RNA, 5412 nt
Filed under: Homo sapiens (human)
Lineage: Eukaryota; Metazoa; Chordata; Mammalia; Primates; Hominidae
Description: HSALNT0375372
Source: RNAcentral